Molecule: long non-coding RNA, 2237 nt
Organism: Panonychus citri (citrus red mite)
Lineage: Eukaryota; Metazoa; Arthropoda; Arachnida; Trombidiformes; Tetranychidae
Exons: 2
Source: RefSeq, a predicted model, not a curated record
UCAUAGUUAAUUGUGAAAAGAUUAACUUUUUUCGCUCCUGAUGAAUUUUAAUUUAAUUAACUUUACCUGUGAAUUUAAAAUUGAAUUUUGUAUUAUUAUUGUUCAUCUCAUCACAAGGAUCAAGUUGAUACCCAAAUUAUGACAGUUCAACAGUUUCUUUAGUUGUUUUUCUUUUUCUUUUGUUACUCUUAAAACUGAGCUAUUAUUGCGUCGUAAUAACUUCAACCAUUUUCGUUUUCUUGGUAAGUUUUGUUGAUAACCCAACAAAGGAACCAAAACAAAAACACAAUCACUGUACUAAACUAAAUUUAAUUUAUAUUUUUCUCCCUUUAUUUAUGACAAACCUAAUGAGUCAAACUAUCUUCAAACCUUCAAACAAACGGCACCCAUUUCAACUUUAUCAAACAUGAUAUUAAACUAAUGAAAUCAAACUAAUGAAAUUAAACUCAGACAAUUAACUCAUCAAGACAAAAUUCACACAAAUCUAACUAACAAUACAAAAAAAUAUAAUUCUUCUAAACUGAACGGUUAGUUCAGUGUCCGUAAGGACCUUCAGGUAAUCCCGCUUCAGGAUUCCUGAAGAAUAAUGUAUAAUGCAUUCACCAGAUGGUGUCAAUAAAGUGAAAAUCUAUUUACGAAUCGCUCUGAUACUUAAUACUGAAUGGUAAAUUAGUUUUCGAAACGUAACAAAUCUAAAAAAUUCUUGAUUGAUUGUUCUAUUGAUUCUUAUAAUCAAAAUACUAAUAUUUGUUUGAUUAACUGCAAUUUCGGACUUAAAAUUCAAGGUAAAUUCAUUGUUGAUUAAACUAUUUUAAUCUAAAGGUAAAAAUCUUCUAUUCUGUUUUAACCCAAAAAGAAUUUGCUGAAUUUAUCCCAAAUCAAUUUUUCUGUCCAGUUGAAACUUUUAACAUUUGAAAAAGUUUUUGAUUCAUAUCAAUAAAAAUGUUUUAUGAAUUAAUCGAAUCUGAUAAGGGCCAUCAUUUGAUAGUCCAAUAUGAUCAUGUAUAUAAGAACUGUGAAACUAAAUUAUGUCAAAUGAGGGGUAAGCUUCAUGAUGGGGAAUUUACAAUUGGUAGUGAUCAUAUUCAUUUACCAGAAAUGAAGUGAAAAUUAUCCAACGUCAUCAACAUGAUAUAAAUUGAUGAAAAAUCCAACGGAAACUGGUCUUAAUAUUUACACUUAAUUUUCUUUUCUUCUCACCCACAAUAUCACCAAUUCAUCUUAAAAUAACAAUCGAUAAACUCUACUGGACAUUUGCGUUUUGAUAACAAUAACAACAAUUCUAAUUGAUUGUCGAUAUUUAUAAACAAAAAAAAACAAUUCUAUUCUAAAAGGAAAACGGAUUAAGAAGAAAAAAACUUCCAUUAAAAAGUGUACCCUUAAUCCCUAUUAUAAUGAAUCAUUUACCUUCGAGGUUCCUUUUGAACAGAUUCAAAAGGUUUACCUGAUCAUUACUGUUGUCGAUUAUGAUAGAAUCGGAACUUCAGAACCAAUUGGAAAGGUGAAUCUUGGUUGUAACGCAACGGGUACUGAACUACGACAUUGGAUGGACAUGUUGGCCUCACCUCGACGUCCGAUAGCCCAAUGGCAUUCACUUAAAGACCCAGAUGACAUCGGUGGCAAAGAGUAAAUGUAAAUCAUCAAAUCUCUAAUCAGAUAAUUAAGAUAUUCUAAUUGUAAUCCCUUCCAAAUUUUCAUCAAAUUUAAUCAUCAUCAUAAUCGUAAUCAUAUAAUACUUAAUGAAAGGAAACCAAACAUUGAGCUUUUCCCAUGUCUUUACUUGAAGCUAGUGAUAAGUGGACCAAAGGUCUUGACCAAAGGAACCAAAUGAAAACCCAACACUUUAAUUGACCAGUUAAUUACAAUUAUUGGUUAAUUGUUUAAAAGUUUUCACGUUAAAAAGGUUGGAAGUGUCAAUAAAAGGCCAACAAUUAAACUCAUACCCCUUAAUCUAUCAAAACUAAUACGAAAUGACCAAUACACCGAAUGGAUAUUUGGACAUUUGGUGGACAAUUUAUUAAGUAUUAAUUAAUUAAUUCUAUCGAUUGAUUUGAUUAUGUUGUUUACUUUCAAUUGUAAUUAUAAUUUCAAAUGCAAGAAUCAAUGUAAAUGCAAUGCAUCAUAAUCCCAAUAUCUUAUCCCUCUGGAAAAUUGUAUUAACCAUUAGUGAUUUAAUUUAAUUGCUAACAAAUGAACCUUAAUUAACUCAUACAUUAAAUAUUGUGUUUUUAAGUUUA